This 484-nucleotide ribosomal RNA is filed under the name uncultured bacterium. RNAcentral describes it as "partial 16S ribosomal RNA". It matches the Rfam family "Bacterial small subunit ribosomal RNA", at positions 28 to 523 of the family's 1533-position model. The record is from RNAcentral.
GACGAACGCUGGCGGCGUGCUUAACACAUGCAAGUCGAACGAUGAAGCCGGAGCUUGCUCUGGUGAAUUAGUGGCGAACGGGUGAGUAACACGUGAGUAACCUGCCCUUGACUCUGGAAUAACUGCGGGAAACUGUAGCUAAUACCGGAUACGACCCUCGGAGGCAUCUCCUGGGGGUGGAAAGAAUUUCGGUCAAGGAUGGACUCGCGGCCUAUCAGCUAGUUGGUGAGGUAAAGGCUGACCAAGGCGACGACGGGUAGCCGGCCUGAGAGGGUGACCGGCCACACUGGGACUGAGACACGGCCCAGACUCCUACGGGAGGCAGCAGUGGGGAAUAUUGCACAAUGGGCGCAAGCCCGAUGCAGCAACGCCGCGUGAGGGAUGACGGCCUUCGGGUUGUAAACCUCUUUUAGCAGGGAAGAAGCGAAAGUGACGGUACCUGCAGAAAAAGCACCGGCUAACCACGUGCCAGCCGCCGCCGUAA